CCUACGGGUGACAGCAGUGGGGAAUAUUGCACAAUGGGGGAAACCCUGAUGCAGCGACGCCGCGUGAGUGAAGAAGUAAUUCGUUAUGUAAAGCUCUAUCAGCAGGGAAGAAAAUGACGGUACCUGAGUAAGAAGCCCCGGCUAACUACGUGCCAGCAGCCGCGGUAAUACGUAGGGGGCCAGCGUUAUCCGGAUUUACUGGGUGUAAAGGGGGCGUAGACGGCAGUGCAAGUCUGGAGUGAAAGGCGGGGGCUAAACCCCCGGACUGCUGUGGAAACUGUAUGGCUGGAGUGCAGGAGAGGUAGGUGGAAUUCGUGGUGUAGCGGUGAAAGGCGUAGAUAUUAGGAGGAACCCCAGGGGCGAAGGCGGCUUACGGGAGUGUUACUGACGUUGAGGCUCGAAGGCGCGGGUAGCAAACAGGAUUAGAUACCCGAGUAGUC
Molecule: ribosomal RNA, 440 nt
Filed under: uncultured bacterium
Lineage: Bacteria
Description: partial 16S ribosomal RNA
Rfam family: Bacterial small subunit ribosomal RNA
Source: RNAcentral